AGCACACCCACACCAGGCCACAACAAUGGCCGCCGCCAAUGUCCUAGUCCCUGGAGAGGUCUCGCCUCUCACCGAGAUGCACUCAGGGCCUGUUGGAGAUUUGAAACUAUUGCUUUGCUGAAAACAUCUGGCUGCUGGUCUGGAAUGUGACUUUUAAGGGAAAGCUAUCUAGGACCCCAGGAGGCAAACACUGUGACUCAAGAAUUGGUCCUUUCCAUCUUCAAUUUAAUGAAAUAAUAAGCCAGUAAUUGAUUUAUAUUUAUAUUUACAUUUGCCUUACAAAUUCUGGGAUUUUUGUCACCUUAAUUGUAAUUCCAUAAGUAGUCACUA
Diceros bicornis minor is the source of this 330-nucleotide long non-coding RNA. RefSeq lists it as uncharacterized. The record is from RefSeq and is a predicted model, not a curated record. The transcript has 3 exons. Lineage: Eukaryota; Metazoa; Chordata; Mammalia; Perissodactyla; Rhinocerotidae.